Molecule: long non-coding RNA, 1418 nt
Filed under: Astyanax mexicanus (Mexican tetra)
Lineage: Eukaryota; Metazoa; Chordata; Actinopteri; Characiformes; Acestrorhamphidae
Description: lncRNA (ENSAMXG00005020735.1)
Source: RNAcentral
GUAUGACCAUGCUUUUGUUUUCUCGACUCUGAUUUUUGCCUUGCCUACUCUGUGGAUUAUUGUGUAUUACCUGGACUGUGUAUUGUCUCUGAUUGUGGAUCUUCUCUGACACUGUCUGCCUCGUGUAUGACCAUUGGACUGCCUCACUAUCCGGUAAUGGUCUCUCCCUCCUGGUUUCUGUUUAACAGUGUUCACUACCUGCUGCUACUGUUUUAUUUUGUACCUUGUGGGUUUUUAAUAAAAUCCUUAACUGGUUCCGCGAGUGUCUGUAUUCUGUAUCCCAUCAUGACAGACCAAUAGAAUUUCUUCAAAAUGGCCUAAAAUAAAAACUUUUUACAUUUACUUCCAUUGAAAGUUAAGAGGGUUUUAUCUGUCUCCUGUAAAGUUGCUUCAUAUUCAGCUCUGGAAACAAUAAGAAACUCAAUGCCGAUGUUUUUCCUUGAUUUUACCAAACUGAAAACCUCUGGAAUAUAAUCAAGAGGAAAAUGGAUGAUCACAAGCCAUCAAACCAAGCUGAACUGCUUGAUUUUUUAUACCAGGAGUGGCGUAAAGUUAUCCAAAAGCAGUGUGUAAGACUGGUGGAGGAGAACAUGCCAAGAUGCAUGAAAACUGUGAUUAUGGUUCUGGUGUUGUGUUUGUGUAGGAGAUCUGAUAUGUUUUGUGUUUUUGAUCAGGAGAUUCUGAGAUGACAGUGGAUCAGACUGGAACAUCUGGAUCUACAUCCAGAUCCUACAAAGAUGCAGCGCUCGCUAAUCUACCAGCAGACUUCCACAAACAGCCCCCUGUUGACUCUGCUAUGUCGCAGCUGAUUGGUUCUCUCAAAAAUCUACUGGCCUGUCACCCUGAGGGACUGACCCUGAAUCAGACCCGCAGAUUCUGUCCACAACUCCUCAAUCAAGACGUGCUUAAAGACUACCCGUCUGUCCGCCACCUGCUGCAGUCCAUGCCCAAGGUCGUCCGGUUGGAGGGGAUUGGCGUCCAGACCCGCGUCCUCCUUGCUCUCCCUUAGAGAUGAUGGGAGAUGUUGACCCUUGAUGUUUACCAGCAGUUCCUUCCUCUGGUAGCUGCCUCUUUUUACUCAGGAGAUGGAGAUGCACUGACAGAGAAACUGGCACCCACUACACUUACCAAAUUCCAUUAUAGAUGAAGCCCAUUUGGUUCCUUUAAUAACUUUGUUUAGAUAUGUUAGUAUUUCUUAAAAACAAUUGAGUUUUUUUCAAGCUUUAAAAAGGAUCUUCACACAUGGUUAUACGCAAGUAUGGUUCCUGAAGGAACCUAAAGCUUAACGAUGAGGCUAUGAUGUAUUCCACUCAGGCUAUUUGCUGUAAUUUGGGGAAAUUACACAGAUUUUAUCUCAUACAAUCAGUCAGUCAGUCAAAUCACAGUAAUAAAAUCAGCAGACUUUCCCUGCUAUGACA